GGUGCCGUGGGCAAAUGGUUAAGCCACCAGGCUUUCAAUCUGGGGAUUGCGGGUUCGAGUCCCGUCGGCACUG
This 73-nucleotide transfer RNA is filed under the name Hassallia byssoidea VB512170. RNAcentral describes it as "tRNA-Glu". It matches the Rfam family "tRNA". From Rfam's summary of the family: Transfer RNA (tRNA) molecules are approximately 80 nucleotides in length. Their secondary structure includes four short double-helical elements and three loops (D, anti-codon, and T loops). Further hydrogen bonds mediate the characteristic L-shaped molecular structure. tRNAs have two regions of fundamental functional importance: the anti-codon, which is responsible for specific mRNA codon recognition, and the 3' end, to which the tRNAs corresponding amino acid is attached (by aminoacyl-tRNA synthetases). tRNAs cope with the degeneracy of the genetic code in two manners: having more than one tRNA (with a specific anti-codon) for a particular amino acid; and 'wobble' base-pairing, i.e. permitting non-standard base-pairing at the 3rd anti-codon position. The record is from RNAcentral. Lineage: Bacteria; Bacillati; Cyanobacteriota; Cyanophyceae; Nostocales; Tolypothrichaceae.